This 497-nucleotide ribosomal RNA is filed under the name uncultured bacterium. RNAcentral describes it as "partial 16S ribosomal RNA". It matches the Rfam family "Bacterial small subunit ribosomal RNA", at positions 28 to 507 of the family's 1533-position model. The record is from RNAcentral.
GACGAACGCUGGCGGCGUGCCUAAUACAUGCAAGUAGAACGCUGAAGCGAGGAGCUUGCUCUUCUUGGAUGAGUUGCGAACGGGUGAGUAACGCGUAGGUAACCUGCCUUGUAGCGGGGGAUAACUAUUGGAAAUGAUAGCUAAUACCGCAUAACAAUGGAUGACACAUGUCAUUUAUUUGAAAGGGGCAAUUGCUCCACUACAAGAUGGACCUGCGUUGUAUUAGCUAGUAGGUGAGGUAAUGGCUCACCUAGGCGACGAUACAUAGCCGACCUGAGAGGGUGAUCGGCCACACUGGGACUGAGACACGGCCCAGACUCCUACGGGAGGCAGCAGUAGGGAAUCUUCGGCAAUGGGGGCAACCCUGACCGAGCAACGCCGCGUGAGUGAAGAAGGUUUUCGGAUCGUAAAGCUCUGUUGUAAGUCAAGAACGGGUGUGAGAGUGGAAAGUUCACACUGUGACGGUAGCUUACCAGAAAGGGACGGCUAACUACGUG